UACGUAGGGGGCAAGCGUUGUCCGGAUUUAUUGGGCGUAAAGAGCGCGUAGGCGGUCCGAUAAGUCGGCUGUGAAAGUCAGGGGCUCAACCCUUGAAAGCCGGCCGAUACUGUCGGACUAGAGUCCGGAAGAGGCAAGUGGAAUUCCCGGUGUAGCGGUGGAAUGCGCAGAUAUCAGGAGGAACACCGGUGGCGAAGGCGGGUCUCUGGGCAGUAACUGACGCUGAGGAGCGAAAGCGUGGGGAGCGAACAGG
Molecule: ribosomal RNA, 253 nt
Filed under: uncultured bacterium
Lineage: Bacteria
Description: partial 16S ribosomal RNA
Rfam family: Bacterial small subunit ribosomal RNA
Source: RNAcentral